GAUGAACGCUGGCGGCGUGCCUAAUACAUGCAAGUCGAGCGAACGGACGAGAAGCUUGCUUCUCUGAUGUUAGCGGCGGACGGGUGAGUAACACGUGGAUAACCUACCUAUAAGACUGGGAUAACUUCGGGAAACCGGAGCUAAUACCGGAUGAUAUUUUGAACCGCAUGGUUCAAAAGUGAAAUACGGUCUUGCUGUCACUUAUAGAUGGAUCCGCGCUGCAUUAGCUAGUUGGUAAGGUAACGGCCUACCAAGGCAACGAUGCAUAGCCGACCUGAGAGGGUGAUAGGCCGCACGGGAACGGAGACACGGUCCAGACGCCUACGGGAGGCAGCAGUAGGGAAUCUUCCGCAGUGGGCGAAAGCCUGGCGGAGCGACGGCGAGUGAGUGAUGAAGGUCUUCGGAUCGUAAAACUCUGUUAUUAGGGAAGAACAUAUGUGUAAGUAACUGUGCACAUCUUGACGGUACCUAAUCAGAAAGCCACGGCUAACUACGUG
RNAcentral lists this ribosomal RNA (497 nucleotides) under uncultured bacterium. Its description in RNAcentral is "partial 16S ribosomal RNA". It matches the Rfam family "Bacterial small subunit ribosomal RNA", at positions 28 to 507 of the family's 1533-position model. The record is from RNAcentral.